RNAcentral lists this ribosomal RNA (410 nucleotides) under uncultured microorganism. Its description in RNAcentral is "bacterial SSU rRNA". It matches the Rfam family "Bacterial small subunit ribosomal RNA", at positions 509 to 917 of the family's 1533-position model. The record is from RNAcentral.
CAGCAGCCGCGGUAAUACGUAGGUGGCAAGCGUUGUCCGGACUUAUUGGGCGUAAAGCGCGCGCAGGCGGUCCUUUAAGUCUGAUGUGAAAGCCCCCGGCUCAACCGGGGAGGGUCAUUGGAAACUGGGGGACUUGAGUGCAGGAGAGGGAAGUGGAAUUCCACGUGUAGCGGUGAAAUGCGUAGAGAUGUGGAGGAACACCAGUGGCGAAGGCGGCUUCCUGGCCUGUAACUGACGCUGAGGCGCGAAAGCGUGGGGAGCAAACAGGAUUAGAUACCCUGGUAGUCCACGCCGUAAACGAUGAGUGCUAAGUGUUAGGGGGUUUCCGCCCCUUAGUGCUGCAGCUAACGCAUUAAGAACUCCGCCUGGGGAGUACGGCCGCAAGGCUGAAACUUAAAGGAAUUGGCGGG